GUGGGCAUAUAAAUGUAUAGCACUAUUAAGCAAUAAAGAUUAGGCCAGGCAAAAAAAUACAAUUUUGUCAGUUAAUUUAAAGUUAGCAAACUGUUUAUUAAUGUCUGUUACAACAGUCUUACAUACAGUGUUCUCCCCAGGCCGUUUUAGCGUCGCGGUACCGCGACGCUAUAUUUUCUUCCCGUGACGCUAUAAUAAUAUCCGCGACGCUAUAAUAAUUUCCGCGACGCUAUAAUUAUUUUCAGGAUGUUAUUUUUC
This 258-nucleotide long non-coding RNA is filed under the name Mytilus galloprovincialis (Mediterranean mussel). The record is from RNAcentral. Lineage: Eukaryota; Metazoa; Mollusca; Bivalvia; Mytilida; Mytilidae.